Molecule: ribosomal RNA, 318 nt
Filed under: uncultured bacterium
Lineage: Bacteria
Description: bacterial SSU rRNA
Rfam family: Bacterial small subunit ribosomal RNA
Source: RNAcentral
UGAGUAAUGUCUGGGAAACUGCCUGAUGGAGGGGGAUAACUACUGGAAACGGUAGCUAAUACCGCAUAACGUCGCAAGACCAAAGUGGGGGACCUUCGGGCCUCAUGCCAUCAGAUGUGCCCAGAUGGGAUUAGCUAGUAGGUGAGGUAAUGGCUCACCUAGGCGACGAUCCCUAGCUGGUCUGAGAGGAUGACCAGCCACACUGGAACUGAGACACGGUCCAGACUCCUACGGGAGGCAGCAGUGGGGAAUAUUGCACAAUGGGCGCAAGCCUGAUGCAGCCAUGCCGCGUGUAUGAAGAAGGCCUUCGGGUUGUAA